GUUGAAUUCCCAGCGCUACAUAUAUGCGAUGGUGUUCUUGGACAUCAUCAAUUGCACAUGCAAUUGCUUGCAGGCAUGACGGGUUUCUACAUUAUGUGUUUAGCUAUUGGCUUAUUCAAUACCGUCCAUGGAGCGAACGAUUGCGAACUCAACGCCAAACUGGAGCCAUGUGGAAGUAUCUGUGAAGCUAAAUGCAGUAAUCCUAAUAUUCGUUUGUGCAAAAUAAAUCCAGAGGGGUGUAAACUGGAAUGUCGAUGUCAGCGACCGUUUUUGAGAAAUGAAAAUACAGGAACUUGUGUUGAACCGAAAGAAUGUCCGAAAUAAAUAAAUAUUAUGGAGAUUUUUUAAAUA
Diachasmimorpha longicaudata is the source of this 351-nucleotide long non-coding RNA. RefSeq lists it as uncharacterized. The record is from RefSeq and is a predicted model, not a curated record. NCBI's taxonomy places the organism in Eukaryota, Metazoa, Arthropoda, Insecta, Hymenoptera, Braconidae. The transcript is spliced from 3 exons.